CAGGGAGACAACAAAAUGUUUAUAUUAUUAUUUUGUCACCUUAGGUCGAUCGGUAUCUCACGUUCUUAGUUUAUUAAGAAUUUCAUUUCCUAAGUUUUUCUAGGUCACACCCAUUAUUUUUCCUGGGCCAUUAGCUCAGGUGGUUAGAGCGCACCCCUGAUAAGGGUGAGGUCCCUGGUUCAAGUCCAGGAUGGCCCAUAUCUCUAUGUUGGGGGUAUAGCUCAGUUGGUAGAGCGCCUGCUUUGCAAGCAGGAUGUCAGCGGUUCGAGUCCGCUUACCUCCACUGAUUACCACCUCUUCCAUAUCUAUAGAAAGGAAAUGUUUUGAGUUGUGAUCAAAUUCUGAACGAAUCUAGCUUCCUAAUGAAAUCAUUAAGAUGCUGGACUCAUUGAAUUAAUUUCAUUGUUUUCAGAGAACCUUGACAACUGCAUAGAUUAUUUUUAAAGACAAUAAGCAUCUUUAAUGAUGCAGAUUUAUUAUUUGUGCAAACGCACUAAUAACAAUUCUAUUAAGCUGAUGCUUCAAUUUUGAAGUUAUU
RNAcentral lists this transfer RNA (538 nucleotides) under uncultured cyanobacterium. RNAcentral's name for it is "partial 16S-23S ribosomal RNA intergenic spacer". The stretch from base 211 to 283 matches the Rfam family "tRNA". The record is from RNAcentral. Lineage: Bacteria; Bacillati; Cyanobacteriota.